Long non-coding RNA from Mauremys reevesii (Reeves's turtle), 543 nucleotides. RefSeq lists it as uncharacterized. The transcript is spliced from 4 exons. The record is from RefSeq and is a predicted model, not a curated record. Lineage: Eukaryota; Metazoa; Chordata; Testudines; Geoemydidae.
GUGAGGACUGCUUGUUGGACAAGCUGCUGAAGAUCCUCUGCUACCUGACUCUCUGGAUAAGAGGAGGGAUUUUCUUUAGUUUUCCAAACUUAGCUCUAUCCUGUAGACAGUUGACCUGGUGACCUUGCAAGGAGAGUGGGUGAACCUGGACUAUCAAAAAAACCGAACAUCGGGGCUUGUCAAAUGGCACCUGGACACACAAGCCAAAACCUGGACUGUCUGGGUAAAAACCAGAUGAGUGGCAACCCUACUUGUAGCUGAAGAGACACAGCCCCACUCCAGUCUGACUGUAGAACCCCUGCUGCCAGAGGAAACUACCAGGGACAGAGGAAAUGCUCUACUCAGCACAAGGGGGAACUCUAAAGGACAACUGUCUAAUACCCUUCUGAGGACUUUUAUUCUUGAUUACUGAAGUCCAGCUGAUUCCAGUUUUUCACAGCUUUCAAGGAGCAAUCAGUGCCAUAGUGUCUGCUCCAGCCACAAAAUGAAGGAAAAGCGGUAGCUUUCUUGGUUUCCAGAUAGAGUAUUGUCAUUUAGGUCUAG